This 500-nucleotide ribosomal RNA is filed under the name uncultured bacterium. RNAcentral describes it as "partial 16S ribosomal RNA". It matches the Rfam family "Bacterial small subunit ribosomal RNA", at positions 29 to 523 of the family's 1533-position model. The record is from RNAcentral.
AUUGAACGCUGGCGGCAUGCCUUACACAUGCAAGUCGAACGGCAGCGCGGGCUUCGGCCUGGCGGCGAGUGGCGGACGGGUGAGUAAUGCAUCGGAACGUGCCCAGGAGUGGGGGAUAACGUAGCGAAAGUUACGCUAAUACCGCAUACGUACUGAGGUAGAAAGCGGGGGAUCGAAAGACCUCGCGCUCAUGGAGCGGCCGAUGUCGGAUUAGCUAGUUGGUGGGGUAAAAGCUCACCAAGGCGACGAUCCGUAGCUGGUCUGAGAGGACGACCAGCCACACUGGGACUGAGACACGGCCCAGACGCCUACGGGAGGCAGCAGUGGGGAAUCUUGGACAAUGGGGGAAACCCUGAUCCAGCAAUGCCGCGUGUGGGAUGAAGGCCCUCGGGUUGUAAACCACUUUUGGCAGGAAAGAAAUCGCCUGUGCUAAUACCAUGGGCGGAUGACGGUACCUGCAGAAUAAGCACCGGCUAACUACGUGCCAGCCGCCGCCGUAA